Molecule: ribosomal RNA, 262 nt
Filed under: uncultured archaeon
Lineage: Archaea
Description: partial 16S ribosomal RNA
Rfam family: Archaeal small subunit ribosomal RNA
Source: RNAcentral
CACUGACAUUAGAUACCCCGGUAGUCCCAGCCGUAAACUAUGCGCGUUAGGUGUACUGGUGACCACGAGUCACCGGGGUGCCGAAGGGAAACCGUGAAACGUGCCGCCUGGGAAGUACGGUCGCAAGGCUGAAACUUAAAGGAAUCGGCGGGGGAGCACCACAACGGGUGGAGCCUGCGGUUUAAUUGGACUCAACGCCGGAAAUCUCACCGGAUAGGACAGACAUAUGAUAGUCGGGCUGAAGACUCUACUUGAUGAUCUG